This 471-nucleotide ribosomal RNA is filed under the name uncultured bacterium. RNAcentral's name for it is "bacterial SSU rRNA". It matches the Rfam family "Bacterial small subunit ribosomal RNA", at positions 30 to 490 of the family's 1533-position model. The record is from RNAcentral.
AUUGAACGCUGGCGGCAUGCCUUACACAUGCAAGUCGAACGGCAGCACGGGAGCUUGCUCCUGGUGGCGAGUGGCGAACGGGUGAGUAAUACAUCGGAACGUACCCUGAAGUGGGGGAUAACGUAGCGAAAGUUACGCUAAUACCGCAUAUUCUGUGAGCAGGAAAGAGGGGGAUCGCAAGACCUCUUGCUUUAGGAGCGGCCGAUGUCGGAUUAGCUAGUUGGUGAGGUAAAGGCUCACCAAGGCGACGAUCCGUAGCGGGUCUGAGAGGAUGAUCCGCCACACUGGGACUGAGACACGGCCCAGACUCCUACGGGAGGCAGCAGUGGGGAAUUGUUCGCAAUGGGCGCAAGCCUGACGACGCAACGCCGCGUGGAGGAUGAAGAUCUUCGGGUCGUAAACUCCUUUCGAUCGAGACGAAUAGGCCCUUGGGCUAAUACCCUGAGGGAGUGACGGUACCGAGAGAAGAAG